AACGAACGCUGGCGGCAUGCCUAACACAUGCAAGUCGAACGAGACCUUCGGGUCUAGUGGCGCACGGGUGCGUAACGCGUGGGAACCUGCCCUUAGGUUCGGAAUAACUCCCCGAAAGGGGUGCUAAUACCGGAUAAUGUCUUCGGACCAAAGAUUUAUCGCCUUUGGAUGGGCCCGCGUUGGAUUAGCUAGUUGGUAGGGUAAAAGCCUACCAAGGCGACGAUCCAUAGCUGGUCAGAGAGGCUGAUCAGCCACACUGGGACUGAGACACGGCCCAGACUCCUACGGGAGGCAGCAGUGGGGAAUAUUGGACAAUGGGCGAAAGCCUGAUCCAGCAAUGACGCGUGAGUGAUGAAGGCAUUAGGGUUGUAAAGCUCUUUUACCCAGGAUGAUAAUGACAGUACCGGGAGAAUAAGCUCCGGCUAACUCCGUG
This 433-nucleotide ribosomal RNA is filed under the name uncultured bacterium. Its description in RNAcentral is "partial 16S ribosomal RNA". It matches the Rfam family "Bacterial small subunit ribosomal RNA", at positions 29 to 507 of the family's 1533-position model. The record is from RNAcentral.